UUACGGGAGGCAGCAGUAAGGAAUUUUGCGCAAUGGGGGAAACCCUGACGCAGCAACGCCGCGUGGAGGAUGACGUUCUUCGGAAUGUAAACUCCUGUCGAGAAGGAAGAAUGACGGAUUGGUCCGUUUGACGGUACUUCUCGAGGAAGCCCCGGCUAACUUCGUGCCAGCAGCCGCGGUAAUACGAGGGGGGCAAGUGUUGUUCGGAUUUACUGGGUGUAAAGGGAGUGUAGGCGGUCUGAUAAGUCAGGGGUGAAAUGCCCACGCUUAACGUGGUGCUCUGCCUUUGAUACUGUCAGGCUUGAAUGUUGGAGAGGGUAACGGAAUUCCAGGUGUAGCGGUGGAAUGCGUAGAUAUCUGGAAGAACACCAGUUGCGAAGGCGGUUACCUGGCCAAACAUUGACGCUGAGGCUCGAAAGUCGGGGGAGCAAACAGGAUUAGAUACCCCGGUAGC
Molecule: ribosomal RNA, 454 nt
Filed under: uncultured bacterium
Lineage: Bacteria
Description: bacterial SSU rRNA
Rfam family: Bacterial small subunit ribosomal RNA
Source: RNAcentral